CCUACGGGGGGCAGCAGUGAGGAAUAUUGGUCAAUGGACGAGAGUCUGAACCAGCCAAGUAGCGUGAAGGAUGACUGCCCUAUGGGUUGUCAACUUCUUUUAUAAAGGAAUAAAACGAGGCACGUGUGCCUUUUUGCAUGUACUUUAUGAAUAAGGAUCGGCUAACUCCGUGCCAGCAGCCGCGGUAAUACGGAGGAUCCGAGCGUUAUCCGGAUUGAUUGGGGUUAAAGGGAGCGUAGAUGGGUUGUUAAGUCAGUUGUGAAAGUUUGCGGCUCAACCGUAAAAUUGCAAUUGAUACUGGCAGUCUUGAGUACAGUUGAGGUAGGCGGAAUUCGUGGUGUAGCGGUGAAAUGCUUAGAUAUCACGAAGAACCCCGAUUGCGAAGGCAGCUUACUAAACUGUGACUGACAUUGAUGCUCGAAAGUGUGGGUAUCAAACAGGAUUAGAUACCCUUGUAGUC
Molecule: ribosomal RNA, 460 nt
Filed under: uncultured bacterium
Lineage: Bacteria
Description: partial 16S ribosomal RNA
Rfam family: Bacterial small subunit ribosomal RNA
Source: RNAcentral